RNAcentral lists this ribosomal RNA (482 nucleotides) under uncultured bacterium. RNAcentral's name for it is "partial 16S ribosomal RNA". It matches the Rfam family "Bacterial small subunit ribosomal RNA", at positions 28 to 523 of the family's 1533-position model. The record is from RNAcentral.
GACGAACGCUGGCGGCGUGCUUAACACAUGCAAGUCGAACGAUGAAGAAGAGCUUGCUCUUCGGAUUAGUGGCGAACGGGUGAGUAACACGUGACUAACCUGCCCCUUUCUCUGGGAUAACGCUCCGAAAGGAGUGCUAAUACCGGAUACUCACAUCGAGGCACAUGCCUUGAUGUGGAAAGUUUUUCGGAAAGGGAUGGAGUCGCGGCCUAUCAGCUUGUUGGUGAGGUAACGGCUCACCAAGGCGACGACGGGUAGCCGGCCUGAGAGGGCGCCCGGCCACACUGGGACUGAGACACGGCCCAGACUCCUACGGGAGGCAGCAGUGGGGAAUAUUGCACAAUGGGCGAAGGCCUGAUGCAGCGACGCCGCGUGAGGGAUGAAGGUCUUCGGAUUGUAAACCUCUUUCAGUAGGGACGAAGCGAAAGUGACGGUACCUAAAGAAGAAGCACCGGCUAACUACGUGCCAGCAGCCGCCGUAA